RNAcentral lists this ribosomal RNA (344 nucleotides) under uncultured bacterium. RNAcentral's name for it is "bacterial SSU rRNA". It matches the Rfam family "Bacterial small subunit ribosomal RNA", at positions 1 to 334 of the family's 1533-position model. The record is from RNAcentral.
ACAGAUCGUUCAGAGUUUGAUCCUGGCUCAGGAUGAACGCUAGCGGCAGGCUUAACACAUGCAAGUCGCGGGGCAGCAGGGAUGUAGCAAUACAUUUGCUGGCGACCGGCGCACGGGUGCGUAACGCGUAUGCAACCUACCUUAUACAGGGAGAUAACCUUUCGAAAGAGAGACUAAAAUCCCAUAGUAUUAAUUAGAGGCAUCUUUAGUUAAUUAAAUCUUCGGAGGUAUAAGAUGGGCAUGCGUAGCAUUAGUUAGAUGGAGAGGUAACGGCUCACCAUGACUACGAUGCUUAGGGGUCCUGAGAGGGAAGUCCCCCACACUGGUACUGAGACACGGACCAG